UCUCCGUUGGUGAACCAGCGGAGGGAUCAUUACCGAGUUAUACAACUCAUCAACCCUGUGAACAUACCUAAAACGUUGCCUCGGCGGGAACAGACGGCCCCGUAACACGGGCCGCCCCCGCCAGAGGACCCCCUAACUCUGUUUCUAUAAUGUUUCUUCUGAGUAAACAAGCAAAUAAAUUAAAACUUUCAACAACGGAUCUCUUGGCUCUGGCAUCGAUGAAGAACGCAGCGAAAUGCGAUAAGUAAUGUGAAUUGCAGAAUUCAGUGAAUCAUCGAAUCUUUGAACGCACAUUGCGCCCGCCAGUAUUCUGGCGGGCAUGCCUGUUCGAGCGUCAUUACAACCCUCAGGCCCCCGGGCCUGGCGUUGGGGAUCGGCGGAAGCCCCCUGCGGGCACAACGCCGUCCCCCAAAUACAGUGGCGGUCCCGCCGCAGCUUCCAUUGCGUAGUAGCUAACACCUCGCAACUGGAGAGCGGCGCGGCCACGCCGUAAAACACCCAACUUCUGAAUGUUGACCUCGAAUCAGGUAGGAAUACCCGCUGAACUUAA
This 550-nucleotide ribosomal RNA is filed under the name Fusarium falciforme. RNAcentral's name for it is "eukaryotic LSU rRNA". The stretch from base 184 to 337 matches the Rfam family "5.8S ribosomal RNA". The record is from RNAcentral. Lineage: Eukaryota; Fungi; Ascomycota; Sordariomycetes; Hypocreales; Nectriaceae.